This 77-nucleotide transfer RNA is filed under the name Planctomycetaceae bacterium. RNAcentral's name for it is "tRNA-His". It matches the Rfam family "tRNA". From Rfam's summary of the family: Transfer RNA (tRNA) molecules are approximately 80 nucleotides in length. The record is from RNAcentral. Lineage: Bacteria; Pseudomonadati; Planctomycetota; Planctomycetia; Planctomycetales; Planctomycetaceae.
GUGGCUGUAGCUCAGUUGGCUAGAGCACCAGAUUGUGGCUCUGGAAGUCGCGGGUUCGAGCCCCGUCAGCCACCCUA